RNAcentral lists this ribosomal RNA (271 nucleotides) under Lactococcus lactis. Its description in RNAcentral is "partial 16S ribosomal RNA". It matches the Rfam family "Bacterial small subunit ribosomal RNA", at positions 1220 to 1490 of the family's 1533-position model. The record is from RNAcentral. Lineage: Bacteria; Bacillati; Bacillota; Bacilli; Lactobacillales; Streptococcaceae.
ACGUGAUACAAUGGAUGGUACAACGAGUCGCGAGACAGUGAUUUUUAGCUAAUCUCUUAAAACCAUUCUCAGUUCGGAUUGUAGGCUGCAACUCGCCUACAUGAAGUCGGAAUCGCUAGUAAUCGCGGAUCAGCACGCCGCGGUGAAUACGUUCCCGGGCCUUGUACACACCGCCCGUCACACCACGGGAGUUGGGAGUACCCGAAGUAGGUUGCCUAACCGCAAGGAGGGCGCUUCCUAAGGUAAGACCGAUGACUGGGGUGAAGUCGUA